RNAcentral lists this ribosomal RNA (395 nucleotides) under uncultured bacterium. RNAcentral's name for it is "bacterial SSU rRNA". It matches the Rfam family "Bacterial small subunit ribosomal RNA", at positions 357 to 769 of the family's 1533-position model. The record is from RNAcentral.
GGGAAUAUUGCACAAUGGGCGAAAGCCUGAUGCAGCCAUGCCGCGUGUAUGAAGAAGGCCUUCGGGUUGUAAAGCUCUGUCCUCAAGGAAGAUAAUGACGGUACUUGAGGAGGAAGCCACGGCUAACUACGUGCCAGCAGCCGCGGUAAUACGUAGGUGGCAAGCGUUGUCCGGAUUUAUUGGGCGUAAAGAGCGCGCAGGUGGUUAAUUAAGUCUGAUGUGAAAGCCCACGGCUUAACCGUGGAGGGUCAUUGGAAACUGGUUGACUUGAGUGCAGAAGAGGGAAGUGGAAUUCCAUGUGUAGCGGUGAAAUGCGUAGAGAUAUGGAGGAACACCAGUGGCGAAGGCGGCUUCCUGGUCUGCAACUGACACUGAGGCGCGAAAGCGUGGGGAGC